This 2622-nucleotide ribosomal RNA is filed under the name Shigella boydii. RNAcentral describes it as "bacterial LSU rRNA". It matches the Rfam family "Bacterial large subunit ribosomal RNA", at positions 320 to 2925 of the family's 2925-position model. The record is from RNAcentral. Lineage: Bacteria; Pseudomonadati; Pseudomonadota; Gammaproteobacteria; Enterobacterales; Enterobacteriaceae.
GUGUGUGUGUUAGUGGAAGCGUCUGGAAAGGCGUGCGAUACAGGGUGACAGCCCCGUACACAAAAAUGCACAUACUGUGAGCUCGAUGAGUAGGGCGGGACACGUGGUAUCCUGUCUGAAUAUGGGGGGACCAUCCUCCAAGGCUAAAUACUCCUGACUGACCGAUAGUGAACCAGUACCGUGAGGGAAAGGCGAAAAGAACCCCGGCGAGGGGAGUGAAAAAGAACCUGAAACCGUGUACGUACAAGCAGUGGGAGCACGCUUAGGCGUGUGACUGCGUACCUUUUGUAUAAUGGGUCAGCGACUUAUAUUCUGUAGCAAGGUUAACCGAAUAGGGGAGCCGAAGGGAAACCGAGUCUUAACUGGGCGUUAAGUUGCAGGGUAUAGACCCGAAACCCGGUGAUCUAGCCAUGGGCAGGUUGAAGGUUGGGUAACACUAACUGGAGGACCGAACCGACUAAUGUUGAAAAAUUAGCGGAUGACUUGUGGCUGGGGGUGAAAGGCCAAUCAAACCGGGAGAUAGCUGGUUCUCCCCGAAAGCUAUUUAGGUAGCGCCUCGUGAAUUCAUCUCCGGGGGUAGAGCACUGUUUCGGCAAGGGGGUCAUCCCGACUUACCAACCCGAUGCAAACUGCGAAUACCGGAGAAUGUUAUCACGGGAGACACACGGCGGGUGCUAACGUCCGUCGUGAAGAGGGAAACAACCCAGACCGCCAGCUAAGGUCCCAAAGUCAUGGUUAAGUGGGAAACGAUGUGGGAAGGCCCAGACAGCCAGGAUGUUGGCUUAGAAGCAGCCAUCAUUUAAAGAAAGCGUAAUAGCUCACUGGUCGAGUCGGCCUGCGCGGAAGAUGUAACGGGGCUAAACCAUGCACCGAAGCUGCGGCAGCGACGCUUAUGCGUUGUUGGGUAGGGGAGCGUUCUGUAAGCCUGUGAAGGUGUGCUGUGAGGUAUGCUGGAGGUAUCAGAAGUGCGAAUGCUGACAUAAGUAACGAUAAAGCGGGUGAAAAGCCCGCUCGCCGGAAGACCAAGGGUUCCUGUCCAACGUUAAUCGGGGCAGGGUGAGUCGACCCCUAAGGCGAGGCCGAAAGGCGUAGUCGAUGGGAAACAGGUUAAUAUUCCUGUACUUGGUGUUACUGCGAAGGGGGGACGGAGAAGGCUAUGUUGGCCGGGCGACGGUUGUCCCGGUUUAAGCGUGUAGGCUGGUUUUCCAGGCAAAUCCGGAAAAUCAAGGCCGAGGCGUGAUGACGAGGCACUACGGUGCUGAAGCAACAAAUGCCCUGCUUCCAGGAAAAGCCUCUAAGCAUCAGGUAACAUCAAAUCGUACCCCAAACCGACACAGGUGGUCAGGUAGAGAAUACCAAGGCGCUUGAGAGAACUCGGGUGAAGGAACUAGGCAAAAUGGUGCCGUAACUUCGGGAGAAGGCACGCUGAUACGUAGGUGAAGCGACUUGCUCGUGGAGCUGAAAUCAGUCGAAGAUACCAGCUGGCUGCAACUGUUUAUUAAAAACACAGCACUGUGCAAACACGAAAGUGGACGUAUACGGUGUGACGCCUGCCCGGUGCCGGAAGGUUAAUUGAUGGGGUUAGCGCAAGCGAAGCUCUUGAUCGAAGCCCCGGUAAACGGCGGCCGUAACUAUAACGGUCCUAAGGUAGCGAAAUUCCUUGUCGGGUAAGUUCCGACCUGCACGAAUGGCGUAAUGAUGGCCAGGCUGUCUCCACCCGAGACUCAGUGAAAUUGAACUCGCUGUGAAGAUGCAGUGUACCCGCGGCAAGACGGAAAGACCCCGUGAACCUUUACUAUAGCUUGACACUGAACAUUGAGCCUUGAUGUGUAGGAUAGGUGGGAGGCUUUGAAGUGUGGACGCCAGUCUGCAUGGAGCCGACCUUGAAAUACCACCCUUUAAUGUUUGAUGUUCUAACGUGGACCCGUGAUCCGGGUUGCGGACAGUGUCUGGUGGGUAGUUUGACUGGGGCGGUCUCCUCCUAAAGAGUAACGGAGGAGCACGAAGGUUGGCUAAUCCUGGUCGGACAUCAGGAGGUUAGUGCAAUGGCAUAAGCCAGCUUGACUGCGAGCGUGACGGCGCGAGCAGGUGCGAAAGCAGGUCAUAGUGAUCCGGUGGUUCUGAAUGGAAGGGCCAUCGCUCAACGGAUAAAAGGUACUCCGGGGAUAACAGGCUGAUACCGCCCAAGAGUUCAUAUCGACGGCGGUGUUUGGCACCUCGAUGUCGGCUCAUCACAUCCUGGGGCUGAAGUAGGUCCCAAGGGUAUGGCUGUUCGCCAUUUAAAGUGGUACGCGAGCUGGGUUUAGAACGUCGUGAGACAGUUCGGUCCCUAUCUGCCGUGGGCGCUGGAGAACUGAGGGGGGCUGCUCCUAGUACGAGAGGACCGGAGUGGACGCAUCACUGGUGUUCGGGUUGUCAUGCCAAUGGCACUGCCCGGUAGCUAAAUGCGGAAGAGAUAAGUGCUGAAAGCAUCUAAGCACGAAACUUGCCCCGAGAUGAGUUCUCCCUGACCCUUUAAGGGUCCUGAAGGAACGUUGAAGACGACGACGUUGAUAGGCCGGGUGUGUAAGCGCAGCGAUGCGUUGAGCUAACCGGUACUAAUGAACCGUGAGGCUUAACCUU